This 69-nucleotide transfer RNA is filed under the name Symphalangus syndactylus (siamang). Its description in RNAcentral is "tRNA-Val". It matches the Rfam family "tRNA". From Rfam's summary of the family: Transfer RNA (tRNA) molecules are approximately 80 nucleotides in length. Their secondary structure includes four short double-helical elements and three loops (D, anti-codon, and T loops). Further hydrogen bonds mediate the characteristic L-shaped molecular structure. tRNAs have two regions of fundamental functional importance: the anti-codon, which is responsible for specific mRNA codon recognition, and the 3' end, to which the tRNAs corresponding amino acid is attached (by aminoacyl-tRNA synthetases). tRNAs cope with the degeneracy of the genetic code in two manners: having more than one tRNA (with a specific anti-codon) for a particular amino acid; and 'wobble' base-pairing, i.e. permitting non-standard base-pairing at the 3rd anti-codon position. The record is from RNAcentral. Lineage: Eukaryota; Metazoa; Chordata; Mammalia; Primates; Hylobatidae.
CAAGGUGUAGCUUAACACAAAGCACCCGGCUUACACCUGGGAGAUUUCAAUUAAACUUGACCACCCUGA